RNAcentral lists this unclassified non-coding RNA (1043 nucleotides) under Zea mays. RNAcentral's name for it is "misc RNA Zm00001eb353920". Lineage: Eukaryota; Viridiplantae; Streptophyta; Magnoliopsida; Poales; Poaceae. The record is from RNAcentral.
GCCACCAAAUACAUCCACAAUACAUCUUUUUUUAUAAAACGAAGAAAAGAAUAAUGAACUGGUCGAUUGAUGAAUUAGAAACAAAUCUGUCCGGAAAGAAGCUCCACGAUGGCAAAACACGCAUGCAUCCUUACUGUACUGUACGUGGUCAGAUAGCCCACCACAAAGCUGCCACGGCGGCGAGCGCCACGACGCAGGACGAAGCAGCUCGGACGCCAGCUGGGGUCCCUCCCGCGCGCGCGGCCGCCGACGCCGUCGUCGUCCCCGCCGCAGUCUCAGCCGCCGGCGCAUCCGCCACAGCAUCCGGCGUGGCCUUCUUCUUCUUCUUGCUCUCCGCCGGGGAAGGGGCCGGCGCGGGGACCGGCGGGCCGUAGAGCGCCCACGGCAGCAGCACCUUGCUGACCUGGUAGACGACGAGCCUGUCCCCGGCGUAAAGCGGCGUGGCGUCGAGCGUGGCGUUGACGACCCCCGUGGAGACGUUGACGCUGGAGCCGUCCGCGGUGAGGUUGAGCGGGUACUUGCCCCUGCCGGUGUCGCCAGCCUGCGUCCGCAGCGGGUUGCUGACGGUCUCGAGCUGCGCGGCGGGGAGCGCCGCGGACACGACGUGGAACUGCACCAGCGACGUCUUCUGCUGGUCGGAGAGGGAGUUGAGCGUGCCGGCGGGGAGCGCGGAGAAGGCGCUGUCGGGCGGCGCGAACACCGUGAGCCCGCCGUUGGACGGCUUGCCCUUGAGCUGGUUGGUGAUCUGCUCCGCCUCCCGCGUCGACUGCAGCAGCUGGAGGAACUUGGUGAACUGCCCGGCCUUGCUCAGGAUCGCCGUGAUGGUCUUGGGCGGCGCGGGGGCUGGGGACGGCGCCGACGCUGCCUGGCCGCACGCCAGCGGCGCCACGGACGUCAGCAGGGCGACGACGGCGAGGAGAAGGGCGGCGGCGAGGCGUGACGCCAUGGUGGGCUAGUUAGUACGUUGUUGACUUGUUGUAUCUAUGUACUAGGUCGAUCCCGUGUGGCGCUGGAUUAUUCUUGAUCUUGAUGCGCAUGCAUAU